UGGGGAUUAUUGCACAAUGGGCGCCAGCCUGAUGCAGCCAUGCCGCGUGUGUGAAGAAGGCCUUCGGGUUGUAAAGCACUUUCAGCGGGGAGGAAGGCGUUAAGGUUAAUAACCUUGGCGAUUGACGUUACCCGCAGAAGAAGCACCGGCUAACUCCGUGCCAGCAGCCGCGGUAAUACGGAGGGUGCAAGCGUUAAUCGGAAUUACUGGGCGUAAAGCGCACGCAGGCGGUCUGUCAAGUCGGAUGUGAAAUCCCCGGGCUCAACCUGGGAACUGCAUUCGAAACUGGCAGGCUAGAGUCUUGUAGAGGGGGGUAGAAGGCAAGGUGUAGCGGGGAAAGGCGUAGAGAGCUGGAGGAAUACCGGUGGCGAAGGCGGCCCCCUGGACAAAGACUGACGCUCAGGUGCGAAAGCGUGGGGAGCAAACAGG
This 429-nucleotide ribosomal RNA is filed under the name Chloroflexota bacterium. Its description in RNAcentral is "Chloroflexi bacterium partial 16S ribosomal RNA". It matches the Rfam family "Bacterial small subunit ribosomal RNA", at positions 355 to 776 of the family's 1533-position model. The record is from RNAcentral. Lineage: Bacteria; Bacillati; Chloroflexota.